CAGAUCAGGCCUAACACAUGCAAGUCGAGCGGAAACGAUGGUAGCUUGCUACCAGGCGUCGAGCGGCGGACGGGUGAGUAAUACUUAGGAAUCUACCUAGUAGUGGGGGAUAGCACGGGGAAACUCGUAUUAAUACCGCAUACGUCCUACGGGAGAAAGGGGGCAACUUGUUGGCUCUCUCGCCUAUUAGAUGAGCCUAAGUCGGAUUAGCUAGUUGGUGGGGUAAAGGCCUACCAAGGCGACGAUCUGUAGCUGGUCUGAGAGGAUGAUCAGCCACACCGGGACUGAAGACACGGCCCGGACUCCUACGGGAGGCAGCAGUGGGGAAUAUUGGACAAUGGGGGAAGCCCUGAUCCAGCCAUGCCGCGUGUGUGAAGAAGGCCUUUUGGUUGUAAAGCACUUUAAGCAGUGAAGAAGACCUAACGGGUUAAUACCCGUUAGCGAUGACAUUAGCUGCAGAAUAAGCACCGGCUAACUCUGUGCCAGCAGCCGCGGUAAUACAGAGGGUGCAAGCGUUAAUCGGAAUUACUGGGCGUAAAGCGAGCGUAGGUGGCUUGAUAAGUCAGAUGUGAAAUCCCCGGGCUUAACCUGGGAACUGCAUCUGAAACUGUUAGGCUAGAGUAGGUGAGAGGGAAGUAGAAUUUCAGGUGUAGCGGUGAAAUGCGUAGAGAUCUGAAGGAAUACCGAUGGCGAAGGCAGCUUCCUGGCAUCAUACUGACACUGAGGCUCGAAAGCGUGGGUAGCAAACAGGAUUAGAUACCCUGGUAGUCCACGCCGUAAACGAUGUCUACUAGUCGUUGGGUCCCUUGAGGACUUAGUGACGCAGCUAACGCAAUAAGUAGACCGCCUGGGGAGUACGGCCGCAAGGUUAAAACUCAAAUGAAUUGACGGGGGCCCGCACAAGCGGUGGAGCAUGUGGUUUAAUUCGAUGCAACGCGAAGAACCUUACCUGGUCUUGACAUACACAGAAUCUUGUAGAGAUACGAGAGUGCCUUCGGGAAUUGUGAUACAGGUGCUGCAUGGCUGUCGUCAGCUCGUGUCGUGAGAUGUUGGGUUAAGUCCCGCAACGAGCGCAACCCUUGUCCUUAGUUACCAGCGGGUUAAGCCGCGGACUCUAAGGAUACUGCCAGUGACAACUGAGAGGCAGGCG
Molecule: ribosomal RNA, 1150 nt
Filed under: uncultured Psychrobacter sp.
Lineage: Bacteria; Pseudomonadati; Pseudomonadota; Gammaproteobacteria; Moraxellales; Moraxellaceae
Description: bacterial SSU rRNA
Rfam family: Bacterial small subunit ribosomal RNA
Source: RNAcentral